RNAcentral lists this ribosomal RNA (500 nucleotides) under uncultured bacterium. Its description in RNAcentral is "partial 16S ribosomal RNA". It matches the Rfam family "Bacterial small subunit ribosomal RNA", at positions 30 to 523 of the family's 1533-position model. The record is from RNAcentral.
AUUGAACGCUGGCGGCAUGCCUUACACAUGCAAGUCGAACGGCAGCACGGGAGCAAUCCUGGUGGCGAGUGGCGAACGGGUGAGUAAUACAUCGGAACGUGCCCAAUCGUGGGGGAUAACGUAGCGAAAGCUACGCUAAUACCGCAUACGAUCUACGGAUGAAAGCGGGGGAUCGCAAGACCUCGCGCGAAUGGAGCGGCCGAUGGCAGAUUAGGUAGUUGGUGAGGUAAAGGCUCACCAAGCCUGCGAUCUGUAGCUGGUCUGAGAGGACGACCAGCCACACUGGGACUGAGACACGGCCCAGACUCCUACGGGAGGCAGCAGUGGGGAAUUUUGGACAAUGGGCGCGAGCCUGAUCCAGCAAUGCCGCGUGCAGGAUGAAGGCCUUCGGGUUGUAAACUGCUUUUGUACGGAACGAAACGGUCCUUUCUAAUACAAGGGGCUAAUGACGGUACCGUAAGAAUAAGCACCGGCUAACUACGUGCCAGCAGCCGCAGUAA